AGAGUAACAAUUUUUCUUAAAAUUACAUUUAUUACAAGAAUCAUUGAAGAGAUAGACUUCGAAGUUGGUGUAAUGUUGUUUUCUCAUUGUUACUACGUACAGACAACUACGCCAUGGAGAAUUCAGACUUUGUAACACGGUUCUAUAAUUUAGAGGGAGAUUUAAUUUCAGAAAGAAAAAAUAAUUUUUUUAAUCUUCUAAAAGCCCAGUCUGCGCCUCUAAAUGAAGACGAUUUGAAAGGUUUAUGCCCAAGAACAUAUUUAGAAAGUAUGUUCCAAAUAGACGUCUAUUUUAAGAUAUCUACGACUUAAUUAAGGGCGGAAAUGAAGUAUUUAUCAGUAAAAUCCUAAAACAUCCUUCGCUUUUAAUGGAUACCAUCGAAAGUAUUUCCGCUGAGAGUUUUGUUAAUGAUUUUCUUCCAUGCACAUCAUACUCCAUAAGAAUGAAGAUACUGAAGAGAAUCGCUUUUGUUUUGAAGGAGCAUCAGAUGGAUGAGAUAGUUUCUGCGGUACACAAACGGUACGGACUUCAUGUAUCUUCAAAAAUACUGCACACUUGUAGUAACGAAGACAAUUAAAGAAUAUUUAUCUAACUGCGAGAUUAUACUGAAACCAAGGCAACUAAAAUUCAUUUUUGAUAAAGAUUCCGAACUGUUAGUGACAUAUUUAGAAUAUUGUAAGAA
Anoplophora glabripennis (Asian longhorned beetle) is the source of this 682-nucleotide long non-coding RNA. RefSeq lists it as uncharacterized. The transcript is spliced from 3 exons. Lineage: Eukaryota; Metazoa; Arthropoda; Insecta; Coleoptera; Cerambycidae. The record is from RefSeq and is a predicted model, not a curated record.